UACGUAGGGGGCGAGCGUUGUCCGGAUUCAUUGGGCGUAAAGAGCUCGUAGGCGGUUCGCUAAGUCAGGUGUGAAAUCUCCACGCUCAACGUGGAGGGGCCACCUGAUACUGGCGUGACUCGAGUCCGGUAGGGGAGUGUGGAAUUCCCGGUGUAGCGGUGAAAUGCGCAGAUAUCGGGAGGAACACCAGUGGCGAAGGCGGCACUCUGGGCCGGAACUGACGCUGAGGAGCGAAAGCAUGGGGAGCGAACAGG
RNAcentral lists this ribosomal RNA (254 nucleotides) under uncultured bacterium. RNAcentral's name for it is "partial 16S ribosomal RNA". It matches the Rfam family "Bacterial small subunit ribosomal RNA", at positions 524 to 776 of the family's 1533-position model. The record is from RNAcentral.